RNAcentral lists this ribosomal RNA (460 nucleotides) under uncultured bacterium. RNAcentral describes it as "partial 16S ribosomal RNA". It matches the Rfam family "Bacterial small subunit ribosomal RNA", at positions 338 to 795 of the family's 1533-position model. The record is from RNAcentral.
CCUACGGGUGGCAGCAGUGAGGAAUAUUGGUCAAUGGGCGCGAGCCUGAACCAGCCAAGUAGCGUGAAGGAUGACUGCCCUACGGGUUGUAAACUUCUUUUAUAAAGGGAUAAAGUGCGGCACGUGUGCCUUUUUGUAGGUACCGCAUGAAUAAGGAUCGGCUAACUCCGUGCCAGCAGCCGCGGUAAUACGGAGGGUCCGGGCGUUAUCCGGAUUUAUUGGGUUUAAAGGGAGCGUAGGCGGGUUGUUAAGCCAGCUGUGAAAGUGUGUGGCUCAACCGUAAGAGUGCAGUUGAUAAUGGGAGGCGUGAGUACAGUUGAGGUAAGGGGAAUUCGGGGGGUAGGGGGGAAAAGGUUAGAUAUCACGAAGAACUCCCAAUGCGAAGGCAGGUUACUGGACUGGCACUGACAUUGAAGCUUGAAAGUGUGGGGAACGAAAAGGAGUAGAUACCCGAGUAGUC